RNAcentral lists this ribosomal RNA (253 nucleotides) under uncultured bacterium. Its description in RNAcentral is "partial 16S ribosomal RNA". It matches the Rfam family "Bacterial small subunit ribosomal RNA", at positions 524 to 776 of the family's 1533-position model. The record is from RNAcentral.
GACAGAGGUGCCGAGCGUUAGGCGGAAUCACUGGGCUUAAAGCGUGUGUAGGCGGACUUCUAAGUACCUUGUGAAAUCCCACGGCUCAACCGUGGAAGUGCAUUCGAAACUGCAGGGCUAGAGUCCUGGAGAGGAAGGUGGAAUGCUUGGUGUAGAGGUGAAAUUCGUAGAUAUCAAGCGGAACACCGGUGGCGAAGGCGGCCUUCUGGACAGUGACUGACGCUGAGACGCGAAAGCGUGGGGAGCAAACAGG